GACGAACGCUGGCGGCGUGCUUAACACAUGCAAGUCGAACGGAAAGGCCCUGCUUGCAGGGUACUCGAGUGGCGAACGGGUGAGUAACACGUGGGUGAUCUGCCCUGCACUUCGGGAUAAGCCUGGGAAACUGGGUCUAAUACCGGAUAGGAGCCAUUUUUAGUGUGAUGGUUGGAAAGUUUUUUCGGUGUAGGAUGAGCUCGCGGCCUAUCAGCUUGUUGGUGGGGUAAUGGCCUACCAAGGCGGCGACGGGUAGCCGGCCUGAGAGGGUGGACGGCCACAUUGGGACUGAGAUACGGCCCAGACUCCUACGGGAGGCAGCAGUGGGGAAUAUUGCACAAUGGGCGCAAGCCUGAUGCAGCGACGCCGCGUGGGGGAUGACGGCCUUCGGGUUGUAAACUCCUUUCGCUAGGGACGAAGCUUUUUGUGACGGUAACUAGAUAAGAAGCACCGGCUAACUACGUG
This 465-nucleotide ribosomal RNA is filed under the name uncultured bacterium. RNAcentral's name for it is "partial 16S ribosomal RNA". It matches the Rfam family "Bacterial small subunit ribosomal RNA", at positions 28 to 507 of the family's 1533-position model. The record is from RNAcentral.